This 253-nucleotide ribosomal RNA is filed under the name uncultured bacterium. RNAcentral's name for it is "partial 16S ribosomal RNA". It matches the Rfam family "Bacterial small subunit ribosomal RNA", at positions 524 to 776 of the family's 1533-position model. The record is from RNAcentral.
UACAGAGGUCUCAAGCGUUGUCCGGAAUCAUUGGGCGUAAAGGGUGCGUAGGCGGCGCGGUAAGUCGGGUGUGAAAUCUUGGAGCUUAACUCCGAAACUGCAUUCGAUACUGCCGUGCUUGAGGACUGGAGAGGAGACUGGAAUUUACGGUGUAGCGGUGAAAUGCGUAGAUAUCGUAAGGAAGACCAGUGGCGAAGGCGGGUCUCUGGACAGUUCCUGACGCUGAGGCACGAAGGCCAGGGGAGCAAACGGG